UCCUCCUAUGGGUGUUGAGUCCUCCUAUGAGUGUUGAGUCCUCCUAUGGGUGUUGAGUCCUCCUAUGGGGGUCGUUGGGUCCUCCAAGGGGUUUUGAAUGCUCCUGUGGGUGUUGAGUUGUUCUAUGGGAGUUGUUGGUCCUCCUAUGGGUGUUGAGUCCUCUUAUGGGGGUUGUUGGGUCCUCCAGUGGGUUUUGAGUUGUUCUAUGGGGGUUGUUGGGUCCUCCGAGGGGUUUUGAGUCGUCCUGUGGGUGUUGGGUACUCCUAUGGGCGUCGGUGGGUCCUCCAAGGGGGUUUGGAGUCUUUCUAUGGGUGUUGAGUUCUCCUAUGGGGGUCGUUGGUCCUCCAAGGGGUUUGGAGUCCUCCUACGGGGGGUUGUUGAGUCCUCCAACAGGUUUUGAGUCCUCCUAUGGGGGUCAUUAGAUCCUCCUAUGGGUGUUGAGUCCUCCAGCGGGGGUCAUUGGGUCCUCCAACAGGUUUUGAGUCCUCCUAUGGGGGUCAUUGGAUCCUUCUAUGGGUGUUGAGUCCUCCAGCGGGGGUCGUUGAGUCCUCCUAUGGGUUUUGAGUCCUCCUACGGGGGGUUGUUGAGUCCUCCAACGGGUUUUGAGUCCUCCUAUGGGGGUUGUUGGGUCCUCCUGUGGGUGUUGAGUUGUUCUAUGGGAGUUGUUGGGUCCUCCUAUGGCUUUUGAGUCCUCCUAUGGGGGUCGUUGAGUCCUCCAACGGCUGCCGCCUCCUCCUAUGGGUGUCGCUGAGUCCUCCAACACCUCCGGAAGUCCUCCAACCCCCCGUCUUUCCCCUGACAGGGUAGAAAAGAGAAAGUGGAUUCCAACCAGGAACCGUUUGCACACCCACCUCCAGGCUCCAUCCCCCAGACCUUCGAGGAGGCUGUGACGUCACUCAGGCCCUCGGCUAUCAUUGGUGUAGCAGGAGCCGGCAGACUCUUCACUCCUUCAGUCCUCCGCAAGAUGGCCGCCAUCAACGACCGUCCAAUCAUCUUCGCCCUCAGCAACCCCACAGCCAAAGCUGAGUGUACAGCCGAAGAGGCCUACACCCUAACAGAGGUAAACCCUCCACAUUUUCGGGCUGUUUUUUGGCCUCUGGGAGGACUUGCAGGGUGUUGGAGGUCCUCCAGCAAGUCCUCCAGCUACCCCAGGAGGACUUAUGGGGUGUUGGAGGACCUCCAAGAGACCUUUUGGGGUGUUGAAGGUCCUCCAAGAAACCUUUUGGGGUGUUGGAGGUCCUCCAGCAAGUCCUCCAGCUACAACAGGAAGACUUAUGGGGUGCUGGAGGACCUCCAAGACGACUUUUGGGGUCUUGGAGGUCCUCCAAGGUUUCUUAUAGGGUCUUUUAGGGACUUUUAGGAUCUUUUAGGAUCUUUUAGGGUCUUGUAGGGUCUUUUAGGAUCUUUUAGGGUGUUGGAGGACCUCCAAGAUGGUUUUUGGGGUCUUGGAGGUCCUCCAAGGUUUCUUUUAGGGUCUUUUAGGAUCUUUUAGGGUUUGUUAGGGUCUUUGGGGUCUUGGAGGUCCUCCAAGAUUUCUUUUAGGGUCUUUUAGGUUCUUUUAGGAUCUUUCAGGUUCUUUUAGGGUCUUUUAGGAUCUUUCAGGUUCUUUUAGGAUCUUUCAGGUUCUUUUCGGGUCUUUUAGGAUCUUUCAGGUUCUUUUAGGAUCUUUUAGGGUCUUUCAGGAUCUUUUAGGAUCUUUCAGGUUCUUUUAGGAUCUUUUAGGAUCUUUCAGGUUCUUUUAGGAUCUUUUAGGAUCUUUCAGGAUCUUUUAGGAUCUUUUAGGGUCUUUUAGGGUCUUUGGGGUCUUGGAGGUCCUCCAAGAUUUCUUUUAGGGUCUUUUAGGAUCUUUCAGGUUCUUUUAGGUUCUUUUAGGAUCUUUCAGGUUCUUUUAGGAUCUUUUAGGAUCUUUCAGGUUCUUUUAGGGUCUUUUAGGUUCUUUUAGGGUCUUUGGGGUCUUUUAGGGUCUUUGGGGUCUUGGAGGUCCUCCAAGAUUUCUUAUAGGGUCUUUUAGGUUCUUUUAGGAUCUUUUAGGUUCUUUUAGGAUCUUUCAGGUUCUUUUAG
Molecule: long non-coding RNA, 2061 nt
Filed under: Phasianus colchicus (ring-necked pheasant)
Lineage: Eukaryota; Metazoa; Chordata; Aves; Galliformes; Phasianidae
Description: lncRNA (ENSPCLG00000010871.1)
Source: RNAcentral